GACGAACGCUGGCGGCGUGCCUAAUACAUGCCAGUUGAGCGCUGAAGGUUGGUACUUGUACCAACUGGAUGAGCAGCGAACGGGUGAGUAACGCGUGGGGAAUCUGCCUUUGAGCGGGGGACAACAUUUGGAAACGAAUGCUAAUACCGCAUAAAAACUUUAAACACAAGUUUUAAGUUUGAAAGAUGCAAUUGCAUCACUCAAAGAUGAUCCCGCGUUGUAUUAGCUAGUUGGUGAGGUAAAGGCUCACCAAGGCGAUGAUACAUAGCCGACCUGAGAGGGUGGUCGGCCAAAUUGGGACUGAGACACGGCCCAAACUCCUACGGGAGGCAGCAGUAGGGAAUCUUCGGCAAUGGACGAAAGUCUGACCGAGCAACGCCGCGUGAGUGAAGAAGGUUUUCGGAUCGUAAAACUCUGUUGGUAGAGAAGAACGUUGGUGAGAGUGGAAAGCUCAUCAAGUGACGGUAACUACCCAGAAAGGGACGGCUAACUACGUG
RNAcentral lists this ribosomal RNA (497 nucleotides) under uncultured bacterium. RNAcentral describes it as "partial 16S ribosomal RNA". It matches the Rfam family "Bacterial small subunit ribosomal RNA", at positions 28 to 507 of the family's 1533-position model. The record is from RNAcentral.